This 60-nucleotide transfer RNA is filed under the name Hypoderaeum sp. Hubei-2014. Its description in RNAcentral is "tRNA-Glu". The record is from RNAcentral. Lineage: Eukaryota; Metazoa; Platyhelminthes; Trematoda; Plagiorchiida; Echinostomatidae.
GUCGAUUAGGUGUUGUUUACAUAUCAGUUUUUCGUACUGGGGUGAGUCUUGUUUUAGUGA